CCCCCGCCGCCUUUCACCUCCCAGGCAAAGGCGCCGCGCCCCAAGCCUCCCGCUGAGUCCCGGCGACCGUCUCACCCGCCUUCGGCGCUCCUCUCGGCGCCCGAAAACCUCAAAAUCCCCCCCGGCACCCCUCAACCCCCGCUGCGGCCUACAGCGCCCCGGCCGAUCCCCGGCCUUGCUUAGCGCGCCUCCCUGCCCGCCCUGCACGCUUCGCACCGCCUGCCGCGCUACGCGAGCCCGGGGAUGCAGGCCGGGCCUGGCUUACCUUUCCAGCUGCUUUUUUUUUCUCCUCUCUCUCCUCUCCCCCCUUUCCCUCUGUUGGGCUGACAGAUCAGAGUUUCCUCCCCAGCAGAGGGACUGGGCUCGGGCUCUGUGCUGAGGAGCUGCUGCCCCCCUGGCUCUCAGAAGAUCCUGCUUUUUGUGAGGAGGAAGCUUUGGGGGCUUUUUAUUAUUUUAAAACUACAAAGUGCUCCGAGGGAAGGUGAUUAUUAAGGGGAAUCCCUGAAUAUAUUCUCCAGCAAAGAAGGCAGGGCUGCUGGGGCUGCUCAAGAAGAGAGCCAGCAGCUUCCUACAGCACCACUACAGGCACCGAGAGGACAUAACAUCAGAGAGCGGCUCCUCUGCCCUCCAAAACAACAACUUUCCUACCAUCUUGGAGGUAGUAAAGAGGGAGAGGGGGAAAAAAAGUACAGAAGGUUUUUAUAAAGUGUCAGUUUGGGAGAGGAAGCCAAAUGGCCAAAAGAAAAAUUUGUUUGGUCAUUUAUAUGACUUUUUCUUUUAAAUAAAAAUAAAAUACAAAGGCAUGCGGCUGAAGAAAUAAUUUUCUUUAUAACCUGUUAAGAUCAGCUUUCUGGAAAAAAAAUUAAAAGGAGUUGCUGUUUUGAUUUGGGAGCCUUUGUUUCUGAUAAUUACACAGAACUGUUCUCGCUCGUGCUGUCUGUGCAGGCAGGAGGGUACAUGAAGCAGUCACAGGAUGGUUACUGGACCAUAACUGGCGAUGCAACUACUCAGAAAUGCUGCCAGCUCGCCACCAGGUGGUACUAGGGCUGCAUGUGGGGAAUUCCACCUCCUCCGGCCCUGGUCUCAGCUUUCCAAGCCCAGCCCCAACAGCGUCUGGCUCAGCGCAGCCCCCAGCAGCGCGUGUGGAGGUCAGCUGCUGCGGGCAAGGGAGUACCUAGAGCUAAUAAGCCCCUUCUUUAACAGUCAAGAACACUAUGAGCAAUGUUCGUCUCCCAUCAUCCCAGGUGUUCAUUGCCACCUGUUCAUAAUGCUCUGCUUUCAUCUGAGGUUACAGCUUCAGAAACAGCAAGGAGUAGCACUGUUAACUUUUUUUUUUUUUAAAUAAACACAACCAAGUUGCA
Molecule: long non-coding RNA, 1361 nt
Organism: Colius striatus (speckled mousebird)
Lineage: Eukaryota; Metazoa; Chordata; Aves; Coliiformes; Coliidae
Exons: 3
Source: RefSeq, a predicted model, not a curated record